GCUGGGCCGCGGCUCCGCGGGGCUAGUGCCCACCCCUGGGGCAAGUUCAAACAUCCACUGCGCCCUGAACAUCUGGAGCUGCACCUGCAGGUCCGCUCCGGCAGGACUGCCGUCCUCCUCCUCAUCUCCUCCUCUGGUGGCAUCAGAAUGACACUCUUCCUCAGCUUCUGCCUGGGGGAAACCAAAGUGACAUCAGCAAUCUGUGAACAGCAGUUUCCUCUGUGAUCUGAUCUCCUCCCGGACACGCUCACCCUUUAGUCCCAUAACAUCUACGGUAGCGGAACCAC
Octodon degus (degu) is the source of this 287-nucleotide long non-coding RNA. RefSeq lists it as uncharacterized. The record is from RefSeq and is a predicted model, not a curated record. Lineage: Eukaryota; Metazoa; Chordata; Mammalia; Rodentia; Octodontidae. The transcript has 3 exons.